UAGUCCACGCCGUAAACGAUGAUUACUCGAUAUUGGCGAUAUACAGUCAGUGUCCAAGCGAAAGUGAUAAGUAAUCCACCUGGGGAGUACGAUCGCAAGAUUGAAACUCAAAGGAAUUGACGGGGGCCCGCACAAGCGGUGGAGCAUGUGGUUUAAUUCGAUGAUACGCGAGGAACCUUACCAGGGCUUAAAUGCAGGACGAUCGGUCUGGAAACAGACUUUUCUUCGGACGGCUUGCAAGGUGCUGCAUGGUUGUCGUCAGCUCGUGCCGUGAGGUGUCGGGUUAAGUCCCAUAACGAGCGCAACCCCUAUCUUUAGUUGCUAGCAGGUAAUGCUGAGGACUCUAGAGAAACUGCCCGUGCAAACGGAGAGGAAGGUGGGGAUGACGUCAAAUCAUCACGGCCCUUACGUCCUGGGCUACACACGUGCUACAAUGGUUGUGACAGAGGGUUGCUACAUAGUGAUAUGAUGCUAAUCUCUAAACAC
Molecule: ribosomal RNA, 486 nt
Filed under: uncultured bacterium
Lineage: Bacteria
Description: bacterial SSU rRNA
Rfam family: Bacterial small subunit ribosomal RNA
Source: RNAcentral